GAGAAGUUAACUGUUAUUUUGAACUCUGAAUCUCAUAUAGACCAGUGUUCACUUUAUCUUACUCUCUCUCUCUCCUCUCUCUCACUCUCUGUCUCUGAAAUUUCUUCAGAUUUUUUAUUUGUUUCUGGUGCUCUUACUUUUCACAAUGUUGGAACUUAUUGAUGGUUCUGUCUGUGUCUAUUGGGCUGGACAUGCUUUAGGAUCUUUUAUAACCUGUACUCAGUUUGAGUAGUUUCUUGGGUUGAUUCCGUUUUGAUUUUCUCAUUUCUUUGGAAAUUUAUAAUUUUAAAAUUUUGGACCACUGAGAACAUUUUUAAAUUGUCUUAAUCUAACUUUCCACUUCUAUUCUUUUGCCUAUUCUUCUUAGAUAAUUUUUACACUUUAUUUUCAAGCCCUUCUAUUAAUAUUUUUAUUUCUGCUGUGUUAUUUCUAAGACUUACAGAUUUUAUAAUGCUAUUUUUUAGCAUCUCUCCUAUUUUGUGGAUAUGUCAUCUUUUCUCUCUGAAUAUGAUAAUGAGGCUUUCAUUUGUUUUCUAAGUUUUUAUAUCCCUAGGUAUUUACUGUUUUGAUAAUUUUUUCUUCCCUGUUUGUUUGCUUUGCUUUUUUCUUCCAAGAUAAAGCCUGGAAGCUGCACGUCACCUGCCAGCUUUGUGUGUGCCCAGUGAGGUGGCAUAAUGACCAGCGGUGACUUGAAUGACAAGGGGACAGAACAGCUGGACAAUCCAAUUCCUAGAUGCUUUCUCCAGUUAUGGCCCUGACUGGGAUCUCCGAAGAAUGACUCAGCUGAAACUGUCAAUUUCAUCAUUGCCUACAUUUGUCUUCAGACGACCUGCAGUACAAACUUGGCUUAAACCUGCAGUUGACAAUGGAUUCACCGUGGGAGAAUAAAUUACAAUGGAUAAAAAACAGCAUUACAAUCCCUCAAUAAAAUGGGAUUUUAACAGACAAAGGUGAGUCAGUGGUGAAAGGCAGGAGAAGAUACAACAGGUAAGUGUCUGACUUCAGGCUGGAGCCCUAAUAUAAUAAUAAGUCCUUCUUGUAUUGUAAUCUCUUACAGCUGAAUCUCCAUGUGCUCUCUCUCUCUUCUAACAUCAAUGCAGCUCCUGGUAUGUGGUCGUUCUCAGGCCCAAAGGCCCAUUUUGCUUUUGGCUGCAACUCUGUAACUCUGUAACAGAGACCAAGUGCCUGCAGGGAGCAGAUGUUUGGGGCAGUAUCUGCUAAGGUGGCUUUGCUGAAACUUGUUUCUCUCAUUGGGUCUUGGAAGUGGCGAAUAGGACGUUCCUAUAGAAAAACUCAGAAAGAUAAUGAAGCUGCUAUUUGCAAGAACUGCAUCUGUCUGACUCUCAGACAGAUCUACACCAGUGUUUAGCAGACAUGCCAAAUGAUAAGAGUCAAUCACAGCCUCUGUAGAAAAUACUGGAACCCUGAUGUGGACUUACUGAAUCAGAAUCUCCAGGCAAUAAGCUUGAGAUUCUCUGGCCUCUGAUGGGGCAAACAUACAGUGGGAAGCAUUCCCUUAGAGAAGUAACUUCAGAUCUGCUUUUGUGAUACUUAA
Molecule: long non-coding RNA, 1555 nt
Filed under: Homo sapiens (human)
Lineage: Eukaryota; Metazoa; Chordata; Mammalia; Primates; Hominidae
Description: HSALNT0319385
Source: RNAcentral